Long non-coding RNA from Magnolia sinica, 175 nucleotides. RefSeq lists it as uncharacterized. Lineage: Eukaryota; Viridiplantae; Streptophyta; Magnoliopsida; Magnoliales; Magnoliaceae. The record is from RefSeq and is a predicted model, not a curated record. The transcript is spliced from 3 exons.
AGCUCAUCUUUGGCAUUUAUCAAGGGCAUGAGGAACUUAACCAUAUUAAUCUUGAGAAACAGUAAGAUUUCAGAUAGAAUUCCAUUCGACAUCGGAGAGUAUCAAUCAUUACAGCAUCUGGAUUUGAGCUUUAAUGAUUUAACUGGUGAAAUUCCGAGCUCGCUUUUCACUUUGA